RNAcentral lists this unclassified non-coding RNA (253 nucleotides) under Ascomycota sp. Its description in RNAcentral is "partial contains small subunit ribosomal RNA, internal transcribed spacer 1, and 5.8S ribosomal RNA". The stretch from base 1 to 47 matches the Rfam family "Eukaryotic small subunit ribosomal RNA", at positions 1785 to 1831 of the family's 1831-position model. Lineage: Eukaryota; Fungi; Ascomycota. The record is from RNAcentral.
AAAGUCGUAACAAGGUUUCCGUAGGUGAACCUGCGGAAGGAUCAUUAAAGAGUAAGGGUUAUUCGUAGCCCGACCUCCAACCCUUUGUUGUUAUAACUACCUCGUUGCUUUGGCGGGACCGCUCGGUCUCGAGCUGCUGGUCUUCGGCCCGGCAAGUGCCCGCCAGAGUCUACUCAAACUCUUGUUUUAACCGGUCGUCUGAGUUAAACUUUUAAUUAAAUUAAAACUUUCAACAACGGAUCUCUUGGUUCUC